AUAGCACCAUUUCUUCCACUAUCUCGACUUAAGGACAAACCUGAUCCCAAACUCUUCGCGCAGUAAAGAUUCCUGUUCAAAUUUUAUAUGUCCUAGAAGUUAAAACACAAAAAAAACAUAUUUUUCGCUGGAUCAGAAAACAGAAAUUCAAAGGCCUCUCUCCUGUUAGGCUGUAGAGAUGGAAGACUUUAUUUCUUCUCAGAGGGGGUUAAAGCAGAAAUAAAAGUCAAUCAACAAUUCUCACCAGCUGUGCCACCAUGUCCCAUGGUGGGGAAGCCACACAGGUCAUCUGAGCAUCCAAGCUGCUUUUCAAGAAAUCUCCAAUUCCAGGAAGAAUGAGAACAUCAUUCUGUUGUGGGGUGCUCAUCAGAGAAGACUUCUCGGACAUGGGUUUUAGCCAAUAGAAAAUCUUUCUUACCUGACCAAUGACUGACUACACUGUGUGUUCCGGAUCACGGUGUAGCACUGAGCCUUUCUCAGGGUUGAGCCUUUAAGCACAAAAAUCAUAGCCCAGGUUGACAUACUUCAGUUAUCAAGAACAGUUAGCCAGAAGCAGAACUACCGAAGCCAGAAAACAAGGGUGGUACUUCUAGGGACUCUCCCAGAACUAUGGACUUUGAUGAAUUGAGUUUUUGUUUUAGUUUUGACAGGUAGUGCCACCUACUACAUACAGCCUGAAUGGCAUUCAAUUAGGGAGUCAGCUGUGCUAAGGUCUCAGGGCCUGUUACAUUCCAAAGUUGCAGAACUAAAGAAUGUGUCUGUGAGAACAAAGCUCACCUGGUAGAUGAUUGUGGAAUUCCAGAA
RNAcentral lists this long non-coding RNA (804 nucleotides) under Mus spicilegus (steppe mouse). RNAcentral describes it as "lncRNA (ENSMSIG00000002444.1)". Lineage: Eukaryota; Metazoa; Chordata; Mammalia; Rodentia; Muridae. The record is from RNAcentral.